UACGACUACAUAUCAGGCAUAUCAAUAAGCGGAGGAAAAGAAACUAACAUAGGAUUCCCUUAGUAACGGCGAGUGAAGCGGGAAGAGCUCAAAUUUGAAAUCUUCAAGGUUCUACCUUGACGAAUUGUAGUUUAAAGAAGUGUUUUCUGUUGGUAGUUUUGGUAAAAGUUCUUUGGAAUAGGACAUCAUAGAGGGUGAGAAUCCCGUAUUUGACCAUUUACUUCCAGCUGUGUGAUACACUUUCAAAGAGUCGGAUUGUUUGGGAAUGCAGUCCAAAAUGGGUGGUAAAUUUCAUCUAAAGCUAAAUAUUGGCGAGAGACCGAUAGCGAACAAGUACCGUGAGGGAAAGAUGAAAAGAACUUUGAAAAGAGAGUUAAACAGUACGUGAAAUUGUCAAAAGGGAAGCGUUUGACACCAGUGUUGUUUUCUCGAAAAUCAAUUAAGAAAUGAUCCUGGAUUUUGUGUUGUAUUGACUUUAUCAGCUUUCUGCACUCUUUUUCUUGUCUUUUUUAAUGCACUUUUCGUUUAACAAGUCAACAUCAAUUUCUUUUGUUGUAAAAGGGUCAUUGGAAGGUGGCUUUCACUUUCGGAUGAAAGUGUUUAUAGCCUUUGACUUCUGCAAUCGGAGAGAUUGAGGUCUGCAGCGUAGAUCCUUCGGGGUUAGAUACAUUUGUGCUAAGUUAUAGUUUUUCAUAGACAACAUGUUGACUAUGAUUAAUCAUGUAGCUUACUCGCUUAUGCUAUUUUACCUACGCUUAGGAUGUUGACGCGCGUGUGUGCGUG
This 783-nucleotide ribosomal RNA is filed under the name uncultured Neocallimastigales. Its description in RNAcentral is "partial large subunit ribosomal RNA". It matches the Rfam family "Eukaryotic large subunit ribosomal RNA", at positions 24 to 639 of the family's 3401-position model. Lineage: Eukaryota; Fungi; Neocallimastigomycota; Neocallimastigomycetes; Neocallimastigales. The record is from RNAcentral.